This 2181-nucleotide ribosomal RNA is filed under the name Acinetobacter baumannii 44895_6. Its description in RNAcentral is "bacterial LSU rRNA". It matches the Rfam family "Bacterial large subunit ribosomal RNA", at positions 14 to 2231 of the family's 2925-position model. The record is from RNAcentral. Lineage: Bacteria; Pseudomonadati; Pseudomonadota; Gammaproteobacteria; Moraxellales; Moraxellaceae.
AGUGCAUGUGGUGGAUGCCUUGGCAGUCAGAGGCGAUGAAAGACGUGAUAGCCUGCGAAAAGCUCCGGGGAGGCGGCAAAUAUCCUUUGAUCCGGAGAUGUCUGAAUGGGGGAACCCACCUACUUUAAGGUAGGUAUUGCAACAUGAAUACAUAGUGUUGCAAGGCGAACGAGGGGAAGUGAAACAUCUCAGUACCCUUAGGAAAAGAAAUCAAUUGAGAUUCCCUCAGUAGCGGCGAGCGAACGGGGAUCAGCCCAUUAAGUUAUGUGUGUUUUAGUGGAACGCUCUGGGAAGUGCGAACGUAGAGGGUGAUAUUCCCGUACACGAAAGGGCACACAUAAUGAUGACGAGUAGGGCGAGGCACGUGAAACCUUGUCUGAAUAUGGGGGGACCAUCCUCCAAGGCUAAAUACUCCUGACUGACCGAUAGUGAACCAGUACCGUGAGGGAAAGGCGAAAAGAACCCCUGUGAGGGGAGUGAAAUAGAUCCUGAAACCGCAUGCAUACAAGCAGUGGGAGCACCUUCGUGGUGUGACUGCGUACCUUUUGUAUAAUGGGUCAGCGACUUAUAUUCAGUAGCGAGGUUAACCGUAUAGGGGAGCCGUAGAGAAAUCGAGUCUUAAUAGGGCGUUUAGUUGCUGGGUAUAGACCCGAAACCAGGCGAUCUAUCCAUGAGCAGGUUGAAGGUUGGGUAACACUAACUGGAGGACCGAACCCACUGUCGUUGAAAAGCCAGGGGAUGACUUGUGGAUAGGGGUGAAAGGCUAAUCAAGCCUGGUGAUAGCUGGUUCUCCCCGAAAGCUAUUUAGGUAGCGCCUCGGACGAAUACCAUAGGGGGUAGAGCACUGUUUCGGCUAGGGGGUCAUCCCGACUUACCAAACCGAUGCAAACUCCGAAUACCUAUGAGUACUAUCCGGGAGACAGACUGCGGGUGCUAACGUCCGUAGUCAAGAGGAAAACAAUCCAGACCGCCAGCUAAGGCCCCAAAAUCAUAGUUAAGUGGGAAACGAUGUGGGAAGGCAUAGACAGCUAGGAGGUUGGCUUAGAAGCAGCCACCCUUUAAAGAAAGCGUAAUAGCUCACUAGUCGAGUCGGCCUGCGCGGAAGAUGUAACGGGGCUAAAACUAUGUGCCGAAGCUGCGGAUGUAUACUUUGUAUACGUGGUAGGGGAGCGUUCUGUAAGCCGAUGAAGGUGUGUUGAGAAGCAUGCUGGAGGUAUCAGAAGUGCGAAUGCUGACGUGAGUAACGACAAAACGGGUGAAAAACCCGUUCGCCGAAAGACCAAGGGUUCCAGUCCAACGUUAAUCGGGGCUGGGUGAGUCGACCCCUAAGGCGAGGCCGAAAGGCGUAGUCGAUGGGAAAAUGGUUAAUAUUCCAUUACUUCUGUGUAAUGCGAUGAGAGGACGGAGAAGGCUAAAUCAGCCUGGCGUUGGUUGUCCAGGUGAAAGGAUGUAGGCAUGUAUCUUAGGCAAAUCCGGGGUACUCUAUGCUGAGAUCUGAUAGCAAGCUGUACUUGUACAGCGAAGUGGUUGAUGCCAUGCUUCCAGGAAAAGUCUCUAAGCUUCAGUUACACAGGAAUCGUACCCGAAACCGACACAGGUGGUCAGGUCGAGUAGACCAAGGCGCUUGAGAGAACUCUGCUGAAGGAACUAGGCAAAAUGGUACCGUAACUUCGGGAGAAGGUACGCUGUUGUUGGUGAUGGAACUCGCUUCCUGAGCUGACGACAGCCGCAGAAACCAGGCCGCUGCAACUGUUUAUUAAAAACAUAGCACUCUGCAAACACGAAAGUGGACGUAUAGGGUGUGAUGCCUGCCCGGUGCUGGAAGGUUAAUUGAUGGGGUUAGCGUAAGCGAAGCUCUUGAUCGAAGCCCCAGUAAACGGCGGCCGUAACUAUAACGGUCCUAAGGUAGCGAAAUUCCUUGUCGGGUAAGUUCCGACCUGCACGAAUGGCAUAAUGAUGGCGGCGCUGUCUCCAGCAGAGGCUCAGUGAAAUCGAAAUCGCUGUGAAGAUGCAGUGUACCCGCGGCUAGACGGAAAGACCCCGUGAACCUUUACUGCAGCUUGACACUGAACUUUGACCUUACUUGUGUAGGAUAGGUGGGAGGCUUUGAAGCUGGAACGCUAGUUCCAGUGGAGCCGUCCUUGAAAUACCACCCUGGUAAUGUUGAGGUUCUAACUCUGU